This 315-nucleotide long non-coding RNA is filed under the name Phoenix dactylifera (date palm). RNAcentral's name for it is "long non-coding RNA (PDAC_LNC009626)". The record is from RNAcentral. Lineage: Eukaryota; Viridiplantae; Streptophyta; Magnoliopsida; Arecales; Arecaceae.
UAAUCCUCUUCUAGCUAGAUUGGAUCUAAGCUAUUAACAUGUAAAUCAUGAAUGGGGAGAAGAGUUAGGGUUUACCUAGCUCCGAUAAGUCGUGAAAUAUUUCCGGCGAGCUGCUGUGUCUGCUCUGGUGGCGCAGUGCGACGACGAGCUGUCAGUCCCCCCCUCCUCCGGUGCCACUGCUAUCUGGCUCCUUGCACAGAAGGGAGAAGGUGAGGAGUAGGGAGAGUGUAGUCGAUGGGGUCCUGUACUCAGGACUCCAUGGGUUUUUAUAACCCUCCAUCAAUCUCAGAGGGGUGGGGGACCGCGGCUGUUAGG